This 268-nucleotide small nuclear RNA is filed under the name Urocitellus parryii (Arctic ground squirrel). Its description in RNAcentral is "7SK RNA (ENSUPAG00010020802.1)". It matches the Rfam family "7SK RNA". Rfam says of the family: 7SK was discovered as an abundant small nuclear RNA in the mid-70s but a possible function has only recently been suggested. Two independent studies have found that 7SK RNA binds the CDK9/cyclin T complex (known as elongation factor P-TEFb). Lineage: Eukaryota; Metazoa; Chordata; Mammalia; Rodentia; Sciuridae. The record is from Rfam by way of RNAcentral.
GGAUGUGAAGGUGAUCUGGCUGCGGCAUUGAUCACCAGGGUUGAUUUGGCUUAUCUGGAUGGCUAGGUGGAUGUUCCAUUUCACCCUCACAGCUCCACGUGUGUCCCUCCAAAAGCUGUGUGUUGGGUGAAGGAGGACAACUUUCCCUGAUAGAGGAUGUUUUUUAGGUCAAGGGUAGCUGUGCUCCCCUGCUAGAACCUCCAGACAAGAUCUCAAGGUCCAAAUAGUCUUUUGGAGGGAGUUUAACCUCAAACAUGCAGUGGCAGUU